RNAcentral lists this ribosomal RNA (499 nucleotides) under uncultured Glomeromycotina. Its description in RNAcentral is "partial small subunit ribosomal RNA". It matches the Rfam family "Eukaryotic small subunit ribosomal RNA", at positions 591 to 1092 of the family's 1831-position model. Lineage: Eukaryota; Fungi; Glomeromycota. The record is from RNAcentral.
CCAAUAGCGUAUAUUAAAGUUGUUGCAGUUAAAAAGCUCGUAGUUGAAUUUCGGGAUCAAAUUGUCGGUCGUGCCUCGGUACGAACUGGUAUUAUUGGUUCCUACCUUCUGAAGAACCGCGAUGUCAUUAAUUUGGUGUCGUGGGAAAUCAGGACUGUUACUUUGAAAAAAUUAGAGUGUUUAAAGCAGGCUUACGCUUGAAUACAUUAGCAUGGAAUAAUGAAAUAGGACGUUUGAUUCUAUUUUGUUGGUUUCUAGGAUUGACGUAAUGAUUAAUAGGGAUAGUUGGGGGCAUUAGUAUUCAAUUGUCAGAGGUGAAAUUCUUGGACUUAUUGAAGACUAACUACUGCGAAAGCAUUUGCCAAGGAUGUUUUCAUUAAUCAAGAACGAAAGUUAGGGGAUCGAAGACGAUCAGAUACCGUCGUAGUCUUAACCAUAAACUAUGCCGACUAGGGAUCGGAUGAUGUUAAUUUUUUAAUGACUCAUUCGGCGCCUUACG